RNAcentral lists this long non-coding RNA (854 nucleotides) under Citrus maxima (pomelo). RNAcentral describes it as "long non-coding RNA (CMAX_LNC000393)". Lineage: Eukaryota; Viridiplantae; Streptophyta; Magnoliopsida; Sapindales; Rutaceae. The record is from RNAcentral.
ACCAUUGGAGCUGAAAGAUUCCGUUGCCCAGAAGUUCUGUUUCAGCCAUCUCUCAUCGGAAUGGAAGCUGCUGGUAUUCAUGAGACUACCUACAACUCCAUCAUGAAGUGUGAUGUGGAUAUUAGAAAGGAUCUGUAUGGUAACAUUGUUCUCAGUGGGGGUUCAACUAUGUUCCCUGGUAUUGCCGACCGUAUGAGCAAGGAAAUCACAGCACUUGCUCCAAGCAGCAUGAAGAUCAAGGUCGUGGCUCCACCAGAGAGAAAAUACAGUGUUUGGAUUGGAGGAUCAAUCCUUGCAUCCCUCAGCACCUUCCAGCAGGUGAGAAAUUAAUUACCAUUCAAUUUCUGUUGGCAUUCCUGUUUUAUUUACACUUCUUCAAAGUCUUGACAUAAAUUCUUUGUAUCGUUAACAGAUGUGGAUCUCAAAGGGCGAGUAUGAUGAGUCUGGUCCAUCCAUUGUCCACAGGAAAUGCUUCUAAGUUCUUUAAGUGCUUGAUGGGUGAGUUCUUUUUUUCCAUUUAGUUGGUUUUUGUGUCUCGUUUCGCGAACUCAAGUUGGUUGACAUGGAGAAGUGCUAAGGUUGGGGCCAUUGAAGGAGGCAUAUCUCGAUAUUGAUGUUAUUAUACAAGCUUCUUACAGCGUUUGAGGGGGGCUUAUUUCUGUACUCAACCGUCUUCCUUGCCUUGCAUUCAUCUGGUGUUCAACCAAGUCUUUUUUCUUUUUUUUCCUUUUUUUUAUUUUAAGUAGGAUGUUUGUAGCUGGAGAUGAAGAGUGGUUGUGAUGCUUUUCUAUUUCAUUUUCUAAAUUUUCAUAUUUGAAGGUUUUUUUUCUCCCCCUCUCAAAAGGAACAUUAAU